RNAcentral lists this long non-coding RNA (1899 nucleotides) under Paramuricea clavata. Lineage: Eukaryota; Metazoa; Cnidaria; Anthozoa; Malacalcyonacea; Plexauridae. The record is from RNAcentral.
AAAAUACCAAUGUGUACAAGCCUAUCAAGUCCAAAGUGUUGUCAUUUUUGGAUGUUAUCAAAUAGUUCAAUUGGAUUUGCAGAUGAAGUACUUGAAAAGGUCAGUUUCAAUAAGUUGUGUAUUGUUAACAAAGUAUUAUUAUACAAGAAUGAUAUGAAAACUUUCCUUCAAUGGUCCUGACCUUUCCAUUUCAACGAAAUUGCUCAAAGCUGUUUUUACGAGUGGAAAGUUAUUGUUUUGAUGAGAGGAAUCGUUUUCGACAAUUUUCAGAAAGUUUACAGUGGGUUGGGGCACUUUUUGCAUUUUUUCAAAAAAGUUUCCAAUGGUCUUCCCUUUGUUGACGUCAGGGUUGCUGUGGUCCCCCUUUGCAUUUGAGCCAAAUAUUUCAAAACUUUUUUGUGGCACUUUGUGUAUUUUUAAAAAAUGCUGUGAUCCCCCGGCUGUGUGGUGUCCCUCCACUUCGUGAGCCACCAAAAAUUUUUCAAACGCUCUGUGAGUUGAAAAAGUGAUCGUUUUGAUCAGAGAGAUGGUUUUCUUUUUGGGGGCACUUUUAGAAUGUUUGAAAAAUUUCUCGUGGUUCCCACUUUGUUGACCCUAUGGUUGCCUGUGGGUCUCCCCUAAUUUUGCAUUUGAUCAAAAUUUUUAAAAAUACGUUUUUAUCAGUCGAAAGUGAUUGUUUUGAUGAGAGAAAAGCUUUUCAACAGUUUUGAGAAAGUUUGAAGUGGUUUGGGGCAGUUUUUGAUUUUUUAAAAAAAUUUCCUGUGGUCCCCUCGUUGUUCACCCUAGGGUUGCCUCUGUGCUCUCCCCCCCCCCCCCUUAGCAUGAAAAUGUUUUACCCGUAAGGUAAAGUAAUACGAGCAACAAAAUUGCAGCAACUUGCAAUAAAAUAUUAUUUCAACGCAUGUUAAUAGACCUUUCCUAAAACAAACAAAAUGGCGGAAAGGUAUUUUAAACACAAAUGUGAAAUGAACUUGCCGUGAAGGAACCAGAUGAAAAUACGAACAAAAGCACCAAAUUUUGCUUUAAUAAAUGAAAAAUAAAUGAAAAUAGGAACAAAAGCGCCAAAUUUUGGCGAAAGUAUCCAAUUUUGUCAUGCUAAUAAGAAACAAGUAAUCAUGCGAUGUUGCUCGUACAAUUAGAGGGAUUAAUAGUACUCGUGAUGUUUGGAAAUUUGCCAAAUUGGACUCGCCCCGGCGCUCGUCCAAUUUUGGCAAAAUUUCCAAACAUCACUCAAUUAAUCCCUAAUUGUAACCCUAAAUAUUAAUCCCUAAUUGUACUCGCCAUCGCAUGAUUACCUAUAGGCUAUACUCAGGGACGCCGGAACUGGGGGUGGGGGCAGGGAGGGGGAGGCUGCCCCCUUGCAUUUUGGUAGGGGGGCAGAAGUGCCCUUUUAGUUGUAAAAUACUACGUGAUAAAUCACAUUUCCAGUGAUGCUUUUUCUGGGAAAAUCAUUUUCUGGGAAAAUCAUGAGAUUCAGGUAAUUUAUAGGCCCAGAGAAAGUAAAUUAACAAAAAUGAUUGUGAAUUUGGUAAAUGAGUUUAAUUUACAAAAAAUUUAGGAAAUUUUUGGAAUUUAGAAAAAAAUUUUAACUUAACGGAAAAUUUUGGUAUGUCUGGAAAAAAAUUUUGACCCCUAAAAUGGUACACUGACCGAAAUUUUUUGGUGACGGGGGGGGGGAGAGGUGCCCUUGGUGUGCCUCUGCCCGCCUUUGCCUUAUUACCGUUCCGGCGUCCCUGGCUAUACUUAUUGGUCAAAAUCCAAAAUUCUUUUCUAUGCAUGUGUUGAAGAAGGAUGUUCUGCUCCUCUGACCACAGUCCGUGAGAAACAAACUUAAAAUCCAUUCCAUUUAUGGCGGUGCUAAGUUGAAAACAGUGUAAUCUUGACGUAAUUUAUACCGGG